RNAcentral lists this ribosomal RNA (588 nucleotides) under uncultured bacterium. Its description in RNAcentral is "bacterial SSU rRNA". It matches the Rfam family "Bacterial small subunit ribosomal RNA", at positions 338 to 916 of the family's 1533-position model. The record is from RNAcentral.
CCUACGGGAGGCAGCAGUAGGGAAUCUUCGGCAAUGGACGGAAGUCUGACCGAGCAACGCCGCGUGAGUGAAGAAGGUUUUCGGAUCGUAAAGCUCUGUUGUAAGAGAAGAACGAGUGUGAGAGUGGAAAGUUCACACUGUGACGGUAUCUUACCAGAAAGGGACGGCUAACUACGUGCCAGCAGCCGCGGUAAUACGUAGGUCCCGAGCGUUGUCCGGAUUUAUUGGGCGUAAAGCGAGCGCAGGCGGUCUUUUAAGUCUGAUGUGAAAGCCCACGGCUCAACCGUGGAGGGUCAUUGGAAACUGGGAGACUUGAGUGCAGAAGAGGAGAGCGGAAUUCCAUGUGUAGCGGUGAAAUGCGUAGAUAUAUGGAGGAACACCAGUGGCGAAAGCGGCUCUCUGGUCUGUAACUGACGCUGAGGCUCGAAAGCGUGGGGAGCAAACAGGAUUAGAUACCCUGGUAGUCCACGCCGUAAACGAUGAGUGCUAGGUGUUAGACCCUUUCCGGGGUUUAGUGCCGCAGCUAACGCAUUAAGCACUCCGCCUGGGGAGUACGACCGCAAGGUUGAAACUCAAAGGAAUUGACGG